Molecule: ribosomal RNA, 301 nt
Filed under: uncultured bacterium
Lineage: Bacteria
Description: partial 16S ribosomal RNA
Rfam family: Bacterial small subunit ribosomal RNA
Source: RNAcentral
CAGCAGCCACGGUAAUACGUAGGGUGCUAGCGUUGUUCGGAAUUACUGGGCGUAAAGCGCACGUAGGCGGAUAUUUAAGUCAGGGGUGAAAUCCCGCAGCUCAACUGCGGAACUGCCUUUGAUACUGGGUAUCUUGAGUAUGGAAGAGGUUAGUGGAAUUGCGAGUGUAGAGGUGAAAUUCGUAGAUAUUCGCAGGAACACCAGUGGCGAAGGCGGCUAACUGGUCCAUAACUGACGCUGAGGUGCGAAAGCGUGGGGAGCAAACAGGAUUAGAGACCCCGGUAGUCCCUGUCUCUUAUAC